AACUUUCGACAAUGGAUCACUUGGCUCUCGCAUCGAUGAAGAACGCAGCGAAAUGCGACAAGUAAUGUGAAUUGCAGAAUUCAGUGAAUCGUCGAAUCUUUGAACGCACCUUGCGCCACGUGGUAUUCCACGAGGCACGCCUGUUUGAGUGUCACGUUAACCAUCGUGUCGUGGAGUGACCUUUUGGCUUUUCCUGGCCUCUAAUCGGCUGGGGGGAACUGAUCAGUAUGUCUGCGAGGCGGAUUUGGAGGCUUGCCGUGAGAACGGCUCCUCUCGAAAAUGCAUUAGCUGUCUAAAGACCGUGCCGCUGGUGUGAUAAUUUACUUUGCGCCUAUGGAACGGACUGGUGGUGGCUCAUAAACCGCCUGCAAGGGCAACAAACUUAAGCUUUGACCUCAAAUCAGGUGGGACUACCCGCUGAACUUAAGCAUAUCAAUAAGCGGAGGCU
Molecule: unclassified non-coding RNA, 448 nt
Filed under: uncultured Hyaloriaceae
Lineage: Eukaryota; Fungi; Basidiomycota; Agaricomycetes; Auriculariales; Hyaloriaceae
Description: sequence contains ITS2
Rfam family: 5.8S ribosomal RNA (bases 1-154)
Source: RNAcentral